UUGCGGUUAAAAAGCUCGUAGUUGGAUUUCUGUUGAGGAUGACCGGUCCGCUCUUUGAGCGCGUAUCUGGUUCAGCCUUGGCAUCCUCUUGGGGAACGCUACUGUGCUUGAUUGCAUGGGGCGGUAUUCAAGACUUUUACUUUGAGGAAAUUAGAGUGUUCACUGCAAGCGUUAGCAAUUGAAUACAUUAGCAUGGAAUAAUAAUAUAGGACCUUGGUACUAUUUUGUUGGUUUCUAGAACUAAGGUAAUGAUUAAUAGGGACAAUUGGGGGCAUUUGUAUUAACGCGUCAGAGGUGGAAUUCUUAGAUUGCGUUACGACGAACUACUGCGAAAGCAUUUGCCAAGGAUGUUUUCAUUGAUCAAGAACGAAAGUAUGGGGAUCGAAGACGCUUAGAUACCGUCGUAGUCUAUACCAUAAACUAUGCCAACUAGAGAUUGGAGGUCAUUCUCUUUAUGACUCCUUCAGCACCUUAUGAGAAAUCAAAGUCUUUGGGUUCCGGGGGGAGUAUGGUCGCAAGGCUGAAACUUAAAGGAAUUGACGGAAAGGCACCACCAGGAGUGGAGCCUGCGGCUUAAUUUGACUC
Molecule: ribosomal RNA, 585 nt
Filed under: uncultured marine eukaryote
Lineage: Eukaryota
Description: SSU rRNA
Rfam family: Eukaryotic small subunit ribosomal RNA
Source: RNAcentral